This 522-nucleotide ribosomal RNA is filed under the name uncultured bacterium. Its description in RNAcentral is "bacterial SSU rRNA". It matches the Rfam family "Bacterial small subunit ribosomal RNA", at positions 777 to 1297 of the family's 1533-position model. The record is from RNAcentral.
AAUAGAUACCCUGGUAGUCCAUGCCGUAAACGUUGGGAACUAGAUGUGGGGACCAUUCCACGGUCUCCGUGUCGCAGCUAACGCAUUAAGUUCCCCGCCUGGGGAGUACGGCCGCAAGGCUAAAACUCAAAGGAAUUGACGGGGGCCCGCACAAGCGGCGGAGCAUGCGGAUUAAUUCGAUGCAACGCGAAGAACCUUACCAAGGCUUGACAUAUACGAGAACGCCGUAGAAAUACGGAACUCUUUGGACACUCGUAUACAGGUGGUGCAUGGUUGUCGUCAGCUCGUGUCGUGAGAUGUUGGGUUAAGUCCCGCAACGAGCGCAACCCUCGUCGUAUGUUGCCAGCACGUAAUGGUGGGAACUCAUAUGAGACUGCCGGGGUCAACUCGGAGGAAGGUGGGGAUGAGGUCAAAUCAUCAUGCCCCUUAUGUCUUGGGCUUCACGCAUGCUACAAUGGCCGGUACAAAGGGCUGCAAUACCGCGAGGUGGAGCGAAUCCCAAAAAGCCGGUCUCAGUUCGGA